UGCCACGAGGUGGAUGGAGGGGCUGCUUUUACCCUUCCAUCUGCUGAAACAACAAACCCAGCGACUCUUCAUUCUCUUGUCCCAUGUGCUCCCCCUGCCCCAGACUGCUCUGUUUGCAGGACCAUUUGAUGUUGCCUUAGUGCAACAUUAGUUUUGCUGGGCUGGGUCUGAGAUUCAUCUCCACACGCCUCCUCAAACUUUUGUGUUUUCCUUGCAGACAGUGCUCCCUCACGCUGCCAGUUUGGUCUGUGUCUUGCUGCCUUGCCUUCUUGAGGAGCCUCCCGGUUACACUGAGAUGGAAGGAGGAACGGGAAGAGGGAAGAUUAACCUUUCACUGGCCACAAUGCGUUGCCUCUUAUUGAGGAGGAUUCAGCAGCCCAACCCCCUCCAAUCCAGCCUAUCUGUCUGAAUUGCUGAAAGCAUAAUGCUCCCAUAUGAGAGAUAAAAAACACACUUGUGUCAGGAAAAGAAAACAUAGGAGGAAGAGUUUAUCUCUGUGCAUGAUGGAGAUGGGAUAUGGAGAGGGCCAUGAAAGCAGAGGGAAAGGGGCUGAGCUGCGCAUUCAGCACUUGCUUUGCUUGGUACAUACUGCACCGCAAGCACCUCGCAGACCAUGCUUGUAUUGCGAAUGACACACUUGUGUUCUCUGCUAAUGUGAUGUUCCUGUAAAGGUGGGUAAUGCACAAACUGCAAGGAGCCCGCAAUUUGGCAUCCUUGUGCUUCUGCCUUUUGCUUUGGAAUGUAUUUAUCUGCAGCAAGAAGAGCUCACCAAAGCUCAAUGAAUUUUCCAGCAGUGUUGACUCAGAAAAGCCAGCAGAACAAUGGCAG
RNAcentral lists this long non-coding RNA (828 nucleotides) under Coturnix japonica (Japanese quail). RNAcentral describes it as "lncRNA (ENSCJPG00005016546.1)". Lineage: Eukaryota; Metazoa; Chordata; Aves; Galliformes; Phasianidae. The record is from RNAcentral.